UGAGAGUCCUGAAGGAACGUUGAAGACGACGACGUUGAUAGGUCGGGUGUGUAAGUGUAGCGAUACAUUGAGCUAACCGAUACUAAUGAACCGUGAGGCUUAACCUU
This 107-nucleotide ribosomal RNA is filed under the name Citrobacter sp. EBS8. RNAcentral's name for it is "partial 23S ribosomal RNA". It matches the Rfam family "Bacterial large subunit ribosomal RNA", at positions 2819 to 2925 of the family's 2925-position model. The record is from RNAcentral. Lineage: Bacteria; Pseudomonadati; Pseudomonadota; Gammaproteobacteria; Enterobacterales; Enterobacteriaceae.